AGCUCAGCUGGUGGAGAUGGCACCUCAGAGGCCUCGGCAGGCCCUCCACCCAGCCCUGCCUCACGGCUGCCUGCCGUCUGCUGAAAGAUUAGUCCGAGCACGACCAGGACGUGGACAGCUCCAAGGCCACCUCCACCAGCAGGCCUGCCCUGACUCUCCCAGCACUGGCCAUUACAGCUCCUUCCUGGACUGACCCCUGCGUGGUUCCAUCCCCAUGCAGGUCCCCUCCCCCAGGGCCAGCCUGAGGCUCACUCAGGCUUAGCAGCAAAGUGCUUCAUAAACUGCAAAGUGCCACAUACAUCGCGCCUGUGGCCAUGUGUUCAAGAAUGCUGUGACUAAAGUGAGGAGAAAGGCAGUUUCUGUGCCACAGCCUCCACCCCAGAUACACGAGCCCGUGGAGCUGUGGGAAAGAAGGAGGAGGUGCUGGACGAAGCUGGAAAUGUCUUGCAGGUUCAAAUGAAGGCUUAUGUGAAGGGGGAAUCGCUCUGGACAGCUCAGUGCCCCUCAGAGUCACAUCACCACCAUUUUCCACCACGCGGAGGUGGUUGAAAAAAAGGAGUCACAGAUGGGUAAGGUUUGAGGGGCGUCGGGCUGACGAGGCAAAAAAAAAAGUAGGUGCUGUGGUGCUGAUGGGAGGUUCUCCCUCCCUCACAGGAC
RNAcentral lists this long non-coding RNA (657 nucleotides) under Homo sapiens (human). RNAcentral's name for it is "HSALNT0406097". Lineage: Eukaryota; Metazoa; Chordata; Mammalia; Primates; Hominidae. The record is from RNAcentral.